GGAGGAAAACUUAUACCCAGGAUCUGACGUGUAUUUUUCACGGCAAGCUGGAAACAGACGUUGGCGAGGCAGUACAAUACGAAGAGAGGAAGCACCAUAAAGAUCUGUGAGAGAAUCAGGAGAGUAAGAAGUGCCAAGUUAAUUGCGGGGCAAAGAUUGAAGACAAUCGGAAAACUUACUCCCAUAAAAGGCGUUUUCUGAAUGAGUCCCCAUAUGAUGUACCACACAAGAAAGAUGGCGGCCAGGACUGCAGCUCCGUUAGGUACCAGGACGGAGAUGUUAUCAGUAGUAUAGCAUCCUUGGAACCGGAAUUGUGCAAAGAAAGUCAGCAUGGCCAGUACUACCAGAGGCUGAGGGUGCAAAGGAUACAGAUCGAGUGUUUAUCAUUCCUUAUCACUGCCAUCAUCAACAUUGUGAAAGCUAGCCGACCAAACUCGUCAAAAUAUCAUAAUCAACAACACCAUUAUAAAAAAACCCGCCAAAGUAGUUACCGCUAUCUUCAAAACAGAUCAUCAUCAACAUCAACAUCACCACCAUCAUCGCCAUCGCCAUCGCAACCAUCACCACCGCCACCGCCUUCACCAUCACUAUCAUCAUCAUUACAAAUAUUAAUCAUUACCAUAAACAUCAUCAUUCAACAUCAUUAUCAUCACCGGCAUAACCAACGUCGCCAUUACCGCCAUUAUUGCUAUCAUGUCCACUACUAUCACUAUAUCGAUUUACUUUCUUACCAUGAAUAAAUAAUGCCCAAGCUUUG
Nematostella vectensis (starlet sea anemone) is the source of this 757-nucleotide long non-coding RNA. RefSeq lists it as uncharacterized. The transcript has 2 exons. NCBI's taxonomy places the organism in Eukaryota, Metazoa, Cnidaria, Anthozoa, Actiniaria, Edwardsiidae. The record is from RefSeq and is a predicted model, not a curated record.